AGAUUGAACGCUGGCGGAAUGCUUUACACAUGCAAGUCGAGCGGCAGCGCGGGGCAACCUGGCGGCGAGCGGCGAACGGGUGAGUAAUGCAUCGGAACGUGUCCAUGUCGGUGGGGGAUAGCCCGGCGAAAGCCGGAUUAAUACCGCAUACGCCCGAGAGGGGAAAGUGGGGGACCGCAAGGCCUCACGCGAUUGGAUCGACCGAUGUCCGAUUAGCUA
RNAcentral lists this ribosomal RNA (219 nucleotides) under uncultured soil bacterium. Its description in RNAcentral is "partial 16S ribosomal RNA". It matches the Rfam family "Bacterial small subunit ribosomal RNA", at positions 26 to 247 of the family's 1533-position model. The record is from RNAcentral.